Long non-coding RNA from Rhopalosiphum padi (bird cherry-oat aphid), 1887 nucleotides. RefSeq lists it as uncharacterized. The record is from RefSeq and is a predicted model, not a curated record. The transcript has 3 exons. Lineage: Eukaryota; Metazoa; Arthropoda; Insecta; Hemiptera; Aphididae.
CGUUCUUCUGUCCGCGGCGAGCAGUGCGUGCGCGAGUGUAUUUAAUAAUAAUAGAGACUGUAGGUGGUAGGUGGUGUAUGUAUUGACGUUUAAGUUGAAUACACGCACAGACGAACACCAUUGCUGUGCUAUCGCUCUGUGCGCCCACCACGCUGUUAUUGUACGUUGAUGAGAGACGAUGAGAGCAAAAACAAGACAAAUGUGGUUGGGUCCGAUGUUAUGCCGAUCACCCGCUACUAUUCUCGUCGGAUGUCGGGAAUCGCGGGAUAUCGCUCAUGAUAUGUCGUAUUUUAUCAUCGCAUUAUAAUAUGUCGCGGGAGCGUCAAUACUCAAUGGUAUUGACUAUUGGAUUAGUACGGCGAGUAUGAGUAGUAUCACGCUGUCGACGCACUGCGAGCAGCAGGGUGGCACAUAAAAAUAAAAAUAAAACAACGUUUACUCAGAUAAUAUGUGUUAGGCAUGAUCUGCAUCAAUGUGAUGGCCGGAGGAGAAGGCGACGGAAAUUUGACGCGGAUAUCGAUGAUGCGAUGAGGCGAUUAUUGCAUCCAACCGGGUUCAUACAGUGGGGCAAAUUUUAUUCAAAACGAUUUCUUGGGCCAACGAAGGUUAGAACAUACUUUAAACAAACCACCAUGGUUGAAAUGUUGGCUCAGCUAGCCUCUUGGUAUACGUAUAAUAUUGUGCGUUUCUCCUAUACUGACAUACUGCAGCUGUAAUACAUAUAUAUCUAAUAAAUUCGAUAAACCGAGUCCGAAUUAAUUAGCAAUUUAUUAUGACCUGCAGCGGGGCAAAUAUGAUGGGUGGUCAGAGACCCCAAAAAUCUCUAGAUAAUGGUCCCGGCCAAUAGGAAUACAAUUUAUACUCCUAAAACGAUCAACAUUUAAUUUUUAAACAAUAUUCUGUUAGUCUUCUGAACAUUUUUCUUAUUUAAGUCACUGCAGGUUAUUCCCAAUGGAAAUUAUAUUAAAAUAUGAUGAUAGUAGUACUUAAUGAUGACAGCUUAAGUCCCCGCGCUCUCCGAAAUGUCAAACGAUUUUCGGUGUAAUAAUUCUUCACGACGACCUCCCAUUUUAUCUAUGUAAAAAUGUCUCAGCCCGUAAAAAUGUAUAAAAUAAAAUAUUACCUACCAUUGCCUGGUAGUUUUCACCUAUAUCAGCUAAUAGCUAUUGGUUAAUUCUGUUUCAUAGGACAUUUUAAGACGACGGCUGCAGCGUCAAUUUGCAGGCAGUUCAUUAUGUGUACCUAUACCUAAUUGUAUUAAUAUAUUGCGAAAUGCGACUAUAUCGAAAUUGAACACAUUAUCGUUCUUUGUUCUUGGCGGGUAUAUUUUUAAUAAUUGUCACUGGUGUAUUUUUAUUACAGUAAUGUACUUAUACUAUAGUGUAUAUUCAAAUACUACAGUUGUAUACCUAUUUACUUAUUGUAACGGUACCUAUACACUUAUCAUAUUACCUAUAUUUAGCAUUUUUAAAUAGAGGUAGUGAAUGUCAAUAGCUAACACUACUUUAAAUUUCUGUUUUUGUUAGUAGUUAUUUUUUAUUUAAUGUUAUUCUGCAGUUAACUAUGGUGUAUGUACCGAGGUACCUAUAUUAUCCACCAGUCAAAUAAUCCAAAAUGACCUAAGUAUGAUUAACUUAUGAACAAAUCAAUGGAAAAUAAAAAAACAAAGAAAACAAGUCCACUCUUGUAAUUUUCACAAUGCGUAAAUCUGAUUACCCACCUGUCACGUUCGACAACAAAGUUAUUCCAUCAAAAAACGAAAUAAAAUACCUAGGGUUAAUAUUUGAUGAAUGUCUCAACUGGAGCUCGCAUUCAAAACACAAACGCAAAUUUAUUAACUCUAGAGUUCUAGACUGCAUCUCCUGAGAGCCCUUUUAAAAUCAAAAC